Molecule: non-coding RNA, 1895 nt
Organism: Salvelinus sp. IW2-2015
Lineage: Eukaryota; Metazoa; Chordata; Actinopteri; Salmoniformes; Salmonidae
Source: RefSeq, a predicted model, not a curated record
UGGUAAUACACACUACACUGGCCUCUUACAGUACUGGUGCUCUUACCUGCCUGUGGUAAGUGUUUUAGCUACUGUAUCACUCAAGUGUUGGUUUUAGCCAAUGUUAAGAAGUUGUUGUCUUGACUUGACAUUGGUCUGCUGGAUUAUCUGUGAGAGAAGAUGUUGUGUCCUCAUUGGUGUGUUUGUGUCUCCACAGACCCCCCCAGUCAUGGCCUACCCUGCCACAACACCAACAGGCAUGGUGGGGGGAUAUGGCAUGCCACCUCAACAGCUUGGCUCUAUGGGUAUGAUGAACCAACCCAACAUGAUGUACAACCAGCCCAUCAUGAGGCCGCCCAACCCCUUCGGCUCUGUUUCCAGUGCCCAGCCCUCUGCAGCCUCUAGUCCUUCCAGCCAGAGUCCUCUCAGAGCCCCCGGACAGGACCCAUUUGCACAGCUCUCUCUCAAGGAUUUCUUGUAGAGCGUCUCUUAGAUGCAGUUCAUGUAAUAUGACGUGUCUCAGAAAAUGAAGCACUUAGCAGCAAAGCUUUGUCCUCAUUGCCAGUCUAACUCUUCAGAGAAACGUUCACCCCCCCUCCCCCACCCAAAUACAAACAUGUCAAGAACACAACGAACAGUGCAAUGACUGGAGGAAAACCAUGGAAACCAUGUCCAAAUGACGAUGGGAAGAAAAUAAUUCACCACCCGUUAUUCUGUCAUUUGUCCAAGACGUCAAGUGAUGCUGCUGUUUUUAAAAAGUACCUAUAGGGAUUCCUCAUCCAUUUUAUCCUCUGCUAUGGGUGCUGAGAAACUUUGAUAUUAUGUAUUUGGAAAUACUACUGUGGUUGGGUGUAACAGCUUGGUGUUCUAAUCUAGUGGGAGGGGGAGGUGGGACAAGAAGAAAAAGACGAGAGGAAUCCUUCCCUCUCUUGAUUCGAUCAUCAGUGAUCCAUUUCCUAGUUAUUUAACUGYCACUGAGUAGUGAUGCUAAUGACGUUUACACCUGUUUUAGUUUGUCUUUUUUACUGUGUUUACAGUAGACAUUCCUCGUGUGUUGUUUAUUUAUUUAUUUAUGAUAUGGUUUUAAAACUGAGGAAGAAAAUCUAUAGUGUAAUCUAUAGUACCUGUGGGAGUGCCUCAGCAUUUUACAUKGAUGUUGGAUUGUUUCAUUGGAGAUGUAGAGAAAAUAAUAUAGAUAUUAUAUAAAAUACACCUAUAAACGGAAUGAUAGAGCACUAAAUAUUCUUCAAGUUUUGUGAUAAGAACAGUUUUACUAGGUCAAAUCUCAUGAUCUCCCCUGUGCAAGUGGAGAAGGGGGUUCCAGUAUGAGUCAGUAAUCUAUAUAGUMAAUUCUGUGCCUAGGGUUUUUUGCAAUGGAACAACUUUUCUGUCUAGUUGAAAAACACUUAAUCCACGAUUCUGAAGCAUCACACUGAGGUGGAAUCCAUUUUGCUUUAAGCUUGGCAUGCCAUUGACUCAAUGACCGUUUAAUGGCUGCCUUUACUCUGAAUGUGAAAGAAUUGCUUUCAUGUUGAACAUAUCUUUCCAUGCUACCCGCACCACCUCAGCUCUGACUCCCUGUGAGCCAGACGAGAGUGUGUCUGGGUGUUGCAGAUACUAAACAAGGGUUACAGUUUUGAUGUAAAUUAGUUGUAUAAAGAUCCAGUGGAACAGGGUGAGAGAGGGGCACUGUUGAUCGGUGCUCUGUGUAUAUAAAACUGACUGUUCAACGGAGAGGGAAGUGAAAGAUGUAUGAAAUAUGAAAGCAAUUCAAUCAAAAUCUGACUCUACCUACGUUUGAUUCAGGAUAUUUUCUGCGUUUGUCUUGCGUGGAUUAUAUUUUUGUUUAUGUAUUUAAAACGUGUAGCAGACAUUGACAGGUUUUUUUUUUUUUAAUAAAGAGCAGCUUCCACAAA